Molecule: non-coding RNA, 180 nt
Filed under: Firmicutes bacterium AM43-11BH
Lineage: Bacteria; Bacillati; Bacillota
Also listed under: 3 other names
Description: 6S RNA
Rfam family: 6S / SsrS RNA
About the family: E. coli 6S RNA was the first non coding RNA to be sequenced, but its function was unknown until recently.
Source: RNAcentral
AAUUACCUGAGAUGUUCGAUAACCUUGUUGUUUUGAACCUACAUUACUUUAAACGGGACUCUCAAAUCUCUGUAAUAUGUCAGGCCAUCAUUAUGCAGUGGAAGACAGAAAAGCAGAUGCGGACGCCCACCUAGCAGAAGCUAGGAGUCAGAAGACAGGGAACGGCAUUUUGGGGAUAUA